GGUGAAAGCCUGGGGUGCCCCGCGAGGGGAGCCCUAGCACAGGUGCUGCAUGGCCGUCGUCAGCUCGUGCCGUGAGGUGUUGGGUUAAGUCCCGCAACGAGCGCAACCCCGCCGUUAGUUGCCAGCGGUUCGGCCGGGCACUCUAACGGGACUGCCCGCGAAAGCGGGAGGAAGGAGGGGACGACGUCUGGUCAGCAUGGCCCUUACGGCCUGGGCGACACACGUGCUACAAUGCCCACUACAAAGCGAGGCCACCCGGCAACGGGGAGCUAAUCGCAAAAAGGUGGGCCCAGUUCGGAUUGGGGUCUGCAACCCGACCCCAUGAAGCCGGAAUCGCUAGUAAUCGCGGAUCAGCCAUGCCGCGGUGAAUACGUUCCCGGGCCUU
RNAcentral lists this ribosomal RNA (385 nucleotides) under uncultured Thermus sp. RNAcentral describes it as "bacterial SSU rRNA". It matches the Rfam family "Bacterial small subunit ribosomal RNA", at positions 1000 to 1382 of the family's 1533-position model. Lineage: Bacteria; Thermotogati; Deinococcota; Deinococci; Thermales; Thermaceae. The record is from RNAcentral.